This is a long non-coding RNA of Drosophila guanche, 497 nucleotides long. RefSeq lists it as uncharacterized. The record is from RefSeq and is a predicted model, not a curated record. The transcript is spliced from 3 exons. NCBI's taxonomy places the organism in Eukaryota, Metazoa, Arthropoda, Insecta, Diptera, Drosophilidae.
AGACGCAUACAACUUGGCAGUUUUUCAAACAAUUUCUAGUUUUUUGGAGCCCUAAAAAGGGGGUAAAAGAAAGGACACAAUGGAGUGGCUUUUGACAUUUAUUGUUGGUUGUAUUGUGGGUUACUUGAUUGCCAAAAAUUAUCGGUAGCUAUCCAGGCCAGAGGCAGCACAAAAUUGUAUUGUUGAAAUUUUUUAAGUUUUGGAAUAGGAUUUGGCAAAAUCAAACAAAUAGAAUGCAGCGUUUUCUGACUUUCAUUGUGGGUGGAAUCGUCGGCUACCUCGUAGCGAAGAAUACUCGCUAAGCUAAGCAAGUAUGACCCAUUUGAUCUGCUUUGGUCUGGGCGUGUGGGUCGGCAUGCUAAUGUGCCGACGCUGCGGCCCCUGAAGAACCAGCCAAAUCCACUGAAGCCUUUGCGGAAUGUCAAGCAAAAUUCAAGUUUUUUUUCUCGAACAUUUAUGAAAUAAUGAAUUAAAUAAUGAUGCACCAUUAAAGUAAA